This is a long non-coding RNA of Podarcis raffonei (Aeolian wall lizard), 681 nucleotides long. RefSeq lists it as uncharacterized. The transcript has 2 exons. Lineage: Eukaryota; Metazoa; Chordata; Lepidosauria; Squamata; Lacertidae. The record is from RefSeq and is a predicted model, not a curated record.
GUUCUGGAGGAGGUCGAGAAGUUGCUGCUCAUCUGGUUAGAAGAGAAGCAGCGUGCAAGGGACACAGUGACUGAGGCCGUCAUUUGUGAGAAGGCCAAGGCCUUGCACGCAGACCUCGUCCGGGAACAGCCAGGAACCUCAGGCAAGCCAGAAGUCUUCAAGGCAAGCAGAGGUUGGUUUGACCGGUUCAAGACAAGAUCUGGAAUCCACAGCGUGGUCAGGCAUGGAGAGGCUGCCAGUUCUGAUGCUGCGCAGGAGCAGGCCUCGCUGGAAGAGGAGGAAGCAACUGAGGAAUGGCUGUCCUCCAAAGAACUGAGGGACAUUUGCCAGAAGUGGAAGGAUGUGCAGGCUUUUGCACAGCGGCACCACCCUAACAAGCAUGUGAUACAUGACCUUGUGAACACUUUUGAUACGACGGUCAUGUCGCCUUUCAGGGAGGUGCUGAAAAGGCGGAUGAAGCAGCAGACCAUGGACAGGUUCUUCAGCAAGAAGCAAAGAGUGGAAGAGGAACCUUCUUCGAGUGGUCCCCCAGAGUCUUAGAAAAUGUACGGUACACUUUGUUGAUUUUUAAAUGUUUUUCUGUCAUGUUUAGAAACUUAAUUUAUUGUUCCUUCAAUUUUUGAACUGCUCUUUACAGUAUGUGUGACUUUAAAGAGCAGUUAAUAAACUUGUUGUACCAAA